UGUCCUAGUGUGGGAGCUGAGCUGGCAGGACCUGCACAAUCCCUGCCCACAGAGCAUGGACUGGGGCAGCCAUGGGGGCAGUCACUGCGAGCCACUGGUGGAGUACCUGUCACCUGCCCUGCUGCAGGCCCUGGCCCAGGUAGAUGACCUCUGACUGGUGAGCAUGCUGGAGAUGUGUGUGAAUAUCCAUGACAACAGCCUGGGGAUCUUUGGGGUGCACCUACCCAAUCUCAGGCACCUGAAGCUGAAUGGCA
Long non-coding RNA from Manis pentadactyla (Chinese pangolin), 254 nucleotides. RefSeq lists it as uncharacterized. The transcript has 3 exons. The record is from RefSeq and is a predicted model, not a curated record. NCBI's taxonomy places the organism in Eukaryota, Metazoa, Chordata, Mammalia, Pholidota, Manidae.